This 497-nucleotide ribosomal RNA is filed under the name uncultured bacterium. RNAcentral's name for it is "partial 16S ribosomal RNA". It matches the Rfam family "Bacterial small subunit ribosomal RNA", at positions 28 to 507 of the family's 1533-position model. The record is from RNAcentral.
GAUGAACGCUGGCGGCGUGCCUAAUACAUGCAAGUCGAGCGAACAGACGAGGAGCUUGCUCCUCUGACGUUAGCGGCGGACGGGUGAGUAACACGUGGAUAACCUACCUAUAGGACUGGGAUAACUUCGGGAAACCGGAGCUAAUACCGGAUAAUAUAUUGAACCGCAUGGUUCAAUAGUGAAAGACGGUUUUGCUGUCACUUAUAGAUGGAUCCGCGCCGCAUUAGCUAGUUGGUAAGGUAACGGCUUACCAAGGCAACGAUGCGUAGCCGGCCUGAGAGGGUGAUCGGCCACACUGGAACUGAGACACGGUCCAGACUCCUACGGGAGGCAGCAGUAGGGAAUCUUCCGCAAUGGGCGAAAGCCUGACGGAGCAACGCCGCGUGAGUGAUGAAGGUCUUCGGAUCGUAAAACUCUGUUAUUAGGGAAGAACAAAUGUGUAAGUAACUAUGCACGUCUUGACGGUACCUAAUCAGAAAGCCACGGCUAACUACGUG